ACGGGGCCCARGUCCUMMCGGAGGCAMCCACUGGGAUCUGGCCAUUGCGAAGGCUAAGCMAGAGCCGCUGAGGGAARAGCCUCGUGUACCUUUUCMAGGGGGAGSGAGCCMCUCGGUAUAGCCAGAGUGACGUACCUCMGAAGAAGCCCGCUACUACKGCCAGCAGCCGSGUAUACGUAAGGRGUCAUGCGUUGUCCGGAUUAUGGRSSUAAGAGCGKGUAGGCGGCCAGAUAGGUCSGAUKUGAAAACUGGAGGCUUAACCUUCCAGACGUCGACCGAAACCCUCCUGGCUAGAGUCCGGAAGAGGAGAGUGGAAUUCCCUGGUGUAGCGGUGAAAUGCGCAGAUAUCAGGAAGAACACCCGUGGCGAAAGCGGCUCUCUGGGACGGUACUGACGCUGAGACGCGAAAGCGUGGGGAGCGAACAGGAUUAGAUACCCUGGUAGUCCACGCCGUAAACGAUGGGUGCUAGGUGUGGGAGGUGUCGACUCCUCCCGUGCCGCAGCUAACGCAUUAAGCACCCCGCCUGGGGAGUACGGCCGCAAGGCUAAAACUCAAAGGAAUAGACGGGGACCCGCACAAGUGGUGGAGCAUGUGGUUUAAUUCGAAGAUACGCGAAAAACCUUACCUGGCCUUGACAUUGAUAGAAUCUGCUAGAGAUAGCGGAGUGCCCUUCGGGGAGCUUGAAAACAGGUGCUGCACGGCUGUCGUCAGCUCGUGUCGUGAGAUGUUGGGUUAAGUCCCGCAACGAGCGCAACCCUCGUCCUUAGUUGCCAGCAGGUUAAGCUGGGCACUCUAGGGAGACUGCCUUCGUAAGGAGGAGGAAGGUGAGGACGACGUCAAGUCAUCAUGGCCCUUAUGGCCAGGGCUACACACGUGSUACAAUGGGGCGUACAGAGAGUUGCAAUACCGCGAGGUGGAGCCAAUCUCACAAAGCGUCUCUCAGUUCGGAUUGAAGUYUGCAACUCGACCUCAUGAAGCUGGAAUCACUAGUAAUCGUAGAUCAGCAUUGCUACGGUGAAUACGUUCCCGGGUCUUGUACUCACCGCCCGUCACACCAUGGGAGUUGAUUUCACCCGAAAUUGGGAAGCUAACCUUCGGGAGGCUACCAYWUACGSUGGAAUUAGCGACUGGGGUGAAGUCGUAACAAGGUAACCGU
RNAcentral lists this ribosomal RNA (1157 nucleotides) under uncultured bacterium. Its description in RNAcentral is "partial 16S ribosomal RNA". It matches the Rfam family "Bacterial small subunit ribosomal RNA", at positions 324 to 1503 of the family's 1533-position model. The record is from RNAcentral.